UUUUUUUUUUUUUUUUUUUUUUUUGUCUGUGAUGAGAGAGAGUGAGCUGGGGAAGGAGCGAGAGGCGGCACGGAGGGGAGGAAUGAGCAGCGAGGGACGAGGCAAAUAGAAAGGUUUAGAGGUUAGCUUUUUUUUUUU
Molecule: non-coding RNA, 138 nt
Filed under: Rhodosorus marinus
Lineage: Eukaryota; Rhodophyta; Stylonematophyceae; Stylonematales; Stylonemataceae
Source: RNAcentral